RNAcentral lists this ribosomal RNA (991 nucleotides) under Lacticaseibacillus casei. RNAcentral's name for it is "bacterial SSU rRNA". It matches the Rfam family "Bacterial small subunit ribosomal RNA", at positions 58 to 1021 of the family's 1533-position model. The record is from RNAcentral. Lineage: Bacteria; Bacillati; Bacillota; Bacilli; Lactobacillales; Lactobacillaceae.
CGAGUUCUCGUUGAUGAUCGGUGCUUGCACCGAGAUUCAACAUGGAACGAGUGGCGGACGGGUGAGUAACACGUGGGUAACCUGCCCUUAAGUGGGGGAUAACAUUUGGAAACAGAUGCUAAUACCGCAUAGAUCCAAGAACCGCAUGGUUCUUGGCUGAAAGAUGGCGUAAGCUAUCGCUUUUGGAUGGACCCGCGGCGUAUUAGCUAGUUGGUGAGGUAAUGGCUCACCAAGGCGAUGAUACGUAGCCGAACUGAGAGGUUGAUCGGCCACAUUGGGACUGAGACACGGCCCAAACUCCUACGGGAGGCAGCAGUAGGGAAUCUUCCACAAUGGACGCAAGUCUGAUGGAGCAACGCCGCGUGAGUGAAGAAGGCUUUCGGGUCGUAAAACUCUGUUGUUGGAGAAGAAUGGUCGGCAGAGUAACUGUUGUCGGCGUGACGGUAUCCAACCAGAAAGCCACGGCUAACUACGUGCCAGCAGCCGCGGUAAUACGUAGGUGGCAAGCGUUAUCCGGAUUUAUUGGGCGUAAAGCGAGCGCAGGCGGUUUUUUAAGUCUGAUGUGAAAGCCCUCGGCUUAACCGAGGAAGCGCAUCGGAAACUGGGAAACUUGAGUGCAGAAGAGGACAGUGGAACUCCAUGUGUAGCGGUGAAAUGCGUAGAUAUAUGGAAGAACACCAGUGGCGAAGGCGGCUGUCUGGUCUGUAACUGACGCUGAGGCUCGAAAGCAUGGGUAGCGAACAGGAUUAGAUACCCUGGUAGUCCAUGCCGUAAACGAUGAAUGCUAGGUGUUGGAGGGUUUCCGCCCUUCAGUGCCGCAGCUAACGCAUUAAGCAUUCCGCCUGGGGAGUACGACCGCAAGGUUGAAACUCAAAGGAAUUGACGGGGGCCCGCACAAGCGGUGGAGCAUGUGGUUUAAUUCGAAGCAACGCGAAGAACCUUACCAGGUCUUGACAUCUUUUGAUCACCUGAGAGAUCAGGUUUCCCCUUC